AGAGUUUGAUCCUGGCUCAGGACGAACGCUGGCGGCGUGCCUAAUACAUGCAAGUCGAACGGUCUUUUCUAUGGAAGCUUGCUUCCACUGAGAAGAUAGUGGCGAACGGGUGAGUAACACGUGGGUAACCUGCCCAUAAGAGGGGGAUAACAUCCGGAAACGGGUGCUAAUACCGCAUAGUUUUCUUGAUCGCAUGAUCGAGAAAGGAAAGACGGCCUUUGUGCUGUCGCUUAUGGAUGGACCCGCGGCGUAUUAGUUAGUUGGUGAGGUAAUGGCUCACCAAGACGAUGAUACGUAGCCGACCUGAGAGGGUGAUCGGCCMCMUUGGGAMMGAGACACRGGCCCAAA
This 348-nucleotide ribosomal RNA is filed under the name uncultured Bacteroides sp. RNAcentral describes it as "bacterial SSU rRNA". It matches the Rfam family "Bacterial small subunit ribosomal RNA", at positions 8 to 335 of the family's 1533-position model. The record is from RNAcentral. Lineage: Bacteria; Pseudomonadati; Bacteroidota; Bacteroidia; Bacteroidales; Bacteroidaceae.